Molecule: RNase P RNA, 336 nt
Filed under: human gut metagenome
Description: Bacterial RNase P class A
Rfam family: Bacterial RNase P class A
About the family: Ribonuclease P (RNase P) is a ubiquitous endoribonuclease, found in archaea, bacteria and eukarya as well as chloroplasts and mitochondria. Its best characterised activity is the generation of mature 5'-ends of tRNAs by cleaving the 5'-leader elements of precursor-tRNAs.
Source: RNAcentral
AGCUGAAUGAUCGCAGGCACAGAGCCGAAAGGCCGUGUUUGAGGAAAGUCCGGGCUUCACAGGGCAGGAUGCCGGGUAAUCCCCGGUGAAGGUGACUUUAAGGAAAGUGCAACAGAAAAUAACCGCAUGGCCUAGGCUGUGUAAGGGUGAAAAGGUGAGGUAAGAGCUUACCGGGUCUGUGGUAACACAGGCUGUCUGUGUAAACCCCAUCCGAAGCAACACCGCUGCGGAGCAAUGGUUGGCCCAACCGCUCCCUUGGUGGCUAGAGCAGUGCAGUAAUGUACUGUCCAGAUAGAUGAUCAUUCCAGACAGAACCCGGCUUAUAGGCUUACUUGU